RNAcentral lists this ribosomal RNA (253 nucleotides) under uncultured bacterium. Its description in RNAcentral is "partial 16S ribosomal RNA". It matches the Rfam family "Bacterial small subunit ribosomal RNA", at positions 524 to 776 of the family's 1533-position model. The record is from RNAcentral.
UACGUAGGGGGCGAGCGUUGUCCGGAUUUACUGGGCGUAAAGAGCGCGCAGGCGGUCGUACAAGUCGCGUGUGAAAGCCCCCGGCUCAACUGGGGAGGGUCACGCGAUACUGUUCGACUCGAAGGCAGGAGAGGGAAGCGGAAUUCCCGGUGUAGUGGUGAAAUGCGUAGAUAUCGGGAGGAACACCAGUGGCGAAGGCGGCUUCCUGGCCUGUUCUUGACGCUGAGGCGCGAAAGCUAGGGUAGCAAACGGG